CGCCUUGCCAGCCCGCUCAGAAACUUAAAGGAAUUGAGGGGGCCCGCACAAGCGGAGGAACAUGUGGUUUAAUUCGAUGAUACGCGAGGAACCUUACCUGGGCUAGAACGCAAUCGGAAUCAGGCCGAAAGGUCUGCGCCAGCGAUGGCCGGUUGCGAGGUGCUGCAUGGUUGUCGUCAGCUCGUGCCGUGAGGUGUCGGGUUAAGUCCCAUAACGAGCGCAACCCCUACUGCUAGUUGCCAGCGGGUCAUGCCGGGGACUCUAGCGGAACUGCCAGCGUAAGCUGCGAGGAAGGUGGGGAUGACGUCAAAUCAGCACGGCCCUUACGUCCAGGGCUACACACGUGUUACAAUGGCCAGUACAGAGGGCAGCCACCCCGCGAGGGGGCGCUAAUCCUAAAAGCUGGUCCCAGUUCGGAUCGGAGUCUGCAACCCGACUCCGUGAAGCUGGAUUCGCUAGUAAUCGCGCAUCAGCCACGGCGCGGUGAAUACGUUCCCGGGCCUU
RNAcentral lists this ribosomal RNA (504 nucleotides) under uncultured Rikenellaceae bacterium. RNAcentral's name for it is "bacterial SSU rRNA". It matches the Rfam family "Bacterial small subunit ribosomal RNA", at positions 903 to 1382 of the family's 1533-position model. Lineage: Bacteria; Pseudomonadati; Bacteroidota; Bacteroidia; Bacteroidales; Rikenellaceae. The record is from RNAcentral.